GUCAGGAUGGCCGAGUGGUCUAAGGCGCCAGACUCAAGUUCUGGUUUUCGGUAGAGGGCGUGGGUUCAAAUCCCACUUCUGACA
Non-coding RNA from Corchorus olitorius, 84 nucleotides. The record is from Rfam. Lineage: Eukaryota; Viridiplantae; Streptophyta; Magnoliopsida; Malvales; Malvaceae.